ACCUGGCUGGGGGUAUCUCGUG
This 22-nucleotide small nuclear RNA is filed under the name Caenorhabditis elegans. RNAcentral describes it as "small nuclear RNA mir-1831". The record is from RNAcentral. Lineage: Eukaryota; Metazoa; Nematoda; Chromadorea; Rhabditida; Rhabditidae.